CCCUUAGAUGUUCUGGGCCGCACGCGUGCUACACUGAGUGGAUCAGCGGGUCAGGUUGCGCGAAAGUGUUUCCUAAUCUUGAAAUCCGCUCGUGAUGGGGAUUGACGGUUGCAAUUUUCCGUCAUGAACGAGGAAUACCUUGUAAGCGCGGGUCAUCAUCCCGCGCUGAAUACGUCCCUGCCCUUUGUACACACCGCCCGUCGCUCCUACCGAUUGGGUGGUCCGGUGAGGCUUUGGGAUCUGAGCGGAAAGAGCGUUUCGCUGUUUCUGCCCGGAAAACUCAGUCGAACCUUAUCAUUUAGAGGAAGGAGAAGUCGUAACA
RNAcentral lists this ribosomal RNA (322 nucleotides) under uncultured eukaryote. RNAcentral's name for it is "partial 18S ribosomal RNA". It matches the Rfam family "Eukaryotic small subunit ribosomal RNA", at positions 1470 to 1796 of the family's 1831-position model. The record is from RNAcentral.